Thamnophis elegans (Western terrestrial garter snake) is the source of this 882-nucleotide long non-coding RNA. RefSeq lists it as uncharacterized. The record is from RefSeq and is a predicted model, not a curated record. The transcript has 2 exons. NCBI's taxonomy places the organism in Eukaryota, Metazoa, Chordata, Lepidosauria, Squamata, Natricidae.
AGGCCUGUUGCCUCUCAGAGGCUGCCUUGGGGGCUGGGGUUCAUUUGGCAAGGCCGGGGCCGUGGAGCGAUCUGCCUGGCAUCUAAAGGGUUCCUGGGUACCCUUUAUCUUGGUGCUUUUUCAGAAAAAAAUCAGGCCCGAUCUCGCAUGCAAGCUGAGAGAUAAAAAGCACCGUGGCACAUGGAAAUGAUCUUGUCUUUGCAGCAGGCAGACUCAUUCUGGGCUUUUGCCCGCUUUUCUGUUCAACGGGUUCUGUUACUGGGAAAUCUGUGGUUAGAAGCUUGUCGCCUUUUUCUGCUCUAGCAGUUUGACUUCCACUGAAUGUCUUUUGCAGAAUUAUUUGGUGGUGGUGUUGUUUUUUUAAGUAUGUGAGAGGUUGAAUUACUCGCAGUGGGUGGUAACAAGAGUGGAUGUUAUUUUAGUAGUUUUUCUAGGUAAAUUUAAUCCCUCAAAAAGCAGACCAUGUUCAAGAGCUAAUCCUGGCAUUUUUGCUUUCUUCUUUAUUCCACCCGGCAACCACCGUUAACAAGCUCACAGCGUUUAUUAAGUAAGAUGGGGGUGAUUUCCUGAAGCUUUGGAAACAGAUCUGGAAUAGGAGGGUUAUUGGAAAUCUGUCGGUGGCAGAAAUAUGAUCUGGCUCAGUUUGAGCAGACCUGAUAAUCGCCCUGAAAGAAGCCCAGGUGGGGCAGCUGCCCUGCGACUCCCAAAACGUAGUUGGAUUUGUUUCCCCCCCAAUAAGAGAAGCUUCUUAAGGGAGGAUGGGGAGAAGGGCUGGUAAGUGGAGGCUGCCUUGAUGACCACCCUAGAAGCAGUGGGGGUGGCUAUUGUAAUGCCGGUGGGCUUAAAGAGGCCCCUCCCUCACUUGAUGGGGGAGGGGAAGAA